Molecule: ribosomal RNA, 254 nt
Filed under: uncultured bacterium
Lineage: Bacteria
Description: partial 16S ribosomal RNA
Rfam family: Bacterial small subunit ribosomal RNA
Source: RNAcentral
UACGUAGGGGGCGAGCGUUGUCCGGAUUUAUUGGGCGUAAAGAGCUCGUAGGCGGUUGGGUAAGUCGGGUGUGAAAACUCAGGGCUCAACUCUGAGACGCCACUCGAUACUGCUCUGACUCGAGUCCGGUAGGGGAGCGUGGAAUUCCCGGUGUAGCGGUGAAAUGCGCAGAUAUCGGGAGGAACACCAGUGGCGAAGGCGGCGCUCUGGGCCGGAACUGACGCUGAGGAGCGAAAGCGUGGGGAGCAAACAGG